AUUUGGCUCUUUAUUUCUAAUAACAAAAAUUUAAAAUUUCUUGUUGCUACUGCAGGCUUUUGGUCUUUGUAUGCCAACUGCUUAUUGUUGCUUUAUUACAUGGAUGCCCCUAGUGGGGUUACUUCUAAUAAAAUAGCGUUCAUGUGGAAGAAGAAAGGUAUGAGGAGGCUGAAGAGAAAGCGCCGAAAGAUGAGGCAGAGAUCCAAGUAGAGAGUCUUGACUGACAAAUGGUGGGUCAGGUAUCUCUCCGACUGGACCCUCAUCAUCCUGCCAAUGUGUGGUCAGGUAGGAAUUUUUGCUUAUCCCCACUUACUUAUCAUUGGGUUUUGAGUAUACUCGAGGAGAUCUGCCUAGAAACCAUAUGGUUUGUUUUUAGUUUCAUGUUUUGCAGUUUUAGAUUCAGACUUUAUACUGGUGUAGCUGGUCGAUCAGUUGUUGUUUGGACCCCUUAAAGAGAUUCUUGGAGUUAAUAUCACCUCUUGUGGGGUGAUUUGUAAAAAGAA
Molecule: long non-coding RNA, 503 nt
Organism: Magnolia sinica
Lineage: Eukaryota; Viridiplantae; Streptophyta; Magnoliopsida; Magnoliales; Magnoliaceae
Exons: 2
Source: RefSeq, a predicted model, not a curated record